UGCAUUCACUACUGUAAGUCGCUCUGGAUAAGAACAUUUGCUAAAUGACUAAAA
Non-coding RNA from Salmo salar (Atlantic salmon), 54 nucleotides. The record is from Rfam. NCBI's taxonomy places the organism in Eukaryota, Metazoa, Chordata, Actinopteri, Salmoniformes, Salmonidae.